Molecule: transfer RNA, 76 nt
Filed under: Alteromonas stellipolaris
Lineage: Bacteria; Pseudomonadati; Pseudomonadota; Gammaproteobacteria; Alteromonadales; Alteromonadaceae
Also listed under: 1 other name
Description: tRNA-Glu
Rfam family: tRNA (bases 10-65)
About the family: Transfer RNA (tRNA) molecules are approximately 80 nucleotides in length. Their secondary structure includes four short double-helical elements and three loops (D, anti-codon, and T loops). Further hydrogen bonds mediate the characteristic L-shaped molecular structure. tRNAs have two regions of fundamental functional importance: the anti-codon, which is responsible for specific mRNA codon recognition, and the 3' end, to which the tRNAs corresponding amino acid is attached (by aminoacyl-tRNA synthetases). tRNAs cope with the degeneracy of the genetic code in two manners: having more than one tRNA (with a specific anti-codon) for a particular amino acid; and 'wobble' base-pairing, i.e. permitting non-standard base-pairing at the 3rd anti-codon position.
Source: RNAcentral
GCUCACCUCGUCUAGAGGCCUAGGACACCGCCCUUUCACGGCGGUAACAGGGGUUCGAAUCCCCUUGGGGACGCCA